Molecule: ribosomal RNA, 503 nt
Filed under: uncultured bacterium
Lineage: Bacteria
Description: partial 16S ribosomal RNA
Rfam family: Bacterial small subunit ribosomal RNA
Source: RNAcentral
AUUGAACGCUGGCGGCAGGCUUAACACAUGCAAGUCGAGCGGGGUGAUGGUGCUUGCACUAUCACUUAGCGGCGGACGGGUGAGUAAUGCUUAGGAAUCUGCCUAUUAGUGGGGGACAACAUCUCGAAAGGGAUGCUAAUACCGCAUACGUCCUACGGGAGAAAGCAGGGGAUCACUUGUGACCUUGCGCUAAUAGAUGAGCCGAAGUCGGAUUAGCUAGUUGGUGGGGUAAAGGCCUACCAAGGCGACGAUCUGUAGCGGGUCUGAGAGGAUGAUCCGCCACACUGGGACUGGGACACGGCCCAGACUCCUACGGGGGGCAGCAGUGGGGAAUAUUGGACAGUGGGGGGAACCCUGAUCCAGCCAUGCCGCGUGUGUGAAGAAGGCCUUAUGGUUGUAAAGCACUUUAAGCGAGGAGGAGGCUCUUUUGGUUAAUACCCAAGAUGAGUGGACGUUACUCGCAGAAUAAGCACCGGCUAACUCUGUGCCAGCCGCCGCCGUAA